This 3005-nucleotide long non-coding RNA is filed under the name Brassica rapa (field mustard). RNAcentral's name for it is "long non-coding RNA (BRAP_LNC007883)". The record is from RNAcentral. Lineage: Eukaryota; Viridiplantae; Streptophyta; Magnoliopsida; Brassicales; Brassicaceae.
GUGUUCUUUUAGCGGGGUAUCCUUCGUCCUUUUAAAGUAUCCCACGGCAAGAUAUUUUGAAAACAUAGUGUAUUAGUAAUUGGGGACCAAAGAAAAAAACAGAAAAAACCCAUAAUAUAUUUCAGACUUUGUGUUAUGAAAAUCUUCAUACAUGUUUUCGAAACCGAUUAUAAAAUAUUUUAUAUACUAAAACACAAGUCACAAUAAGAUUUUACCACAUGUUAUUGUUUUACAAAUAAAAAAGUUAAUUAAUUAUCAACAUAAAGAUUAAAGGAAAAUUGCACCCUAUAUACAUGAAAAAUACUUAUAUAUACUAACUAACCAAAAUUUCCCCCUCUCUCCUACUUUCUCUUCCUAUCUCUCUCUACUCUCUCUUCCAAAAUUUAAUUUUCAUUUUUUUUUGGUUAUUUGGUAAAUAAGCCCAAAAUUAAAAACUAUCGCAAAUAAACCAACUGAAAAAAGAAAUGUCUCCAAUCAAAAAAGAGCUCCACUAACCACGAUCUCUAAUUUCUUAAAACUGUAAAAUCUUAAAUUCCUAAUUUUUUUCUAAUGAACACCUUAUGUCAUGGCACAAUUUCAAACUGUUUCAUCUAUAACUUAUUUCUUCUCUGUCUUCUAUCCUUCUCUCUUAUUCUAUGUCGUUUGUUUCUUCGUAAUCUUUUGGGUUUUGAGUGUUGGAACAAUAACUAUAUAGCUUAUGACUUCAUUAUGUCCAAGUUCGGUGUUUCUUCUUAAAGCAAUACUCUCAUAUUCUUUUUGUUCAGCUUCAAGUUGUUUUAAUAGAUUAUUCAUAGGAAGACUAAGGGACAACGAGACUGGGCAUAUAGAUUUUAAAAAUCUGAAAUGGAAAUACAAAGUAAAUAUUUUAUCACUUUUCUUUUAGUUAACUAUGCAAAGUUUCAGCGUUAUUGAGUUUUCUGGGAUAAAUUGUUUCGUAUAUUAUGGAUAUAGUACAAAAGAAAUGGUGCUCAUCUUUCCUAUUAAGAACGUGAAGAUGGAGAGAAAAAACGUGAAGAUGGCAUAUCGGUGGUGCUGUGUAGACUGAGAUUAAGGUAAUAUUUUAUAGAGGUAUUUUAGCUUAUUUUGUAAAUUGUUAUAAUUUUCUAGAUAUAUUAUAUAUUCACAAUUUAUGACUUUAUGUACAUAUAUAUAUAUGAACACUCUUCAAUAUCUCUUGACACGCGGUAAUAGGAGGCGAUAAUCUGUAUGGAGUUGGUAUAUUUUUAACUCAAAAAUGUAAUAGCAAUACAUGUUAAAUUUCUAUGAUAAUUUGAUAUAAAAAUAAGUAUUUUUCCCCGUACGCAGUAUAGUUAUAAACCACAUUGAGAAAAGGUGAAACACCAACCAUAAAACCUUCUUUGGUGUACUCCAAAAUGAUUAAAUUUCUUGCUGAAGUAUAUUAGUAAGACGAACUAUAUAUAUUUCAUUACAACUUGGAAACAACAAUGGAGAACCAGUCGCACCCUAAAACAACACGCACCGACUUUUACUACGGACUACGAGAUUGAUCGAGGUCCAAUGGCAAGGCCAUACACCCGUUUGGCUUCUCAUAGCUCACUAAGAUUUUUCUUUAAAAUGCUCAUGGAAUUGUCAUUUUUCUAAAGUAACCUAUUUACCAACUUACGAUUGUGGACUUCUAUUAGUUCGUUUACUAUAAAUAGCAUAAAGUUUUGCACAUAUAUACGGUCACAUACGAAUAAAGAUAAAAGUAACAGUCAUGUACAUGAACUACUCCCAAUUAAAAAUGAUAUAAACAAGGGAAAUUUUCCUGGAUAGCUUUUUUUAGUUUUUGUUAUAAAAAGAGUAUACACGGAAAAAAAUGACCAAAACAGUUUUAUUAAAAAGAUAAAUAAAAUUUCUACUUCUUGCUUUAUAGAUAUAUAAAUAAUAAUAAAAGUUAUAAUUUUGAAUUAUAUGUUUUUAAAUUCAAACUUUUUAUAUUUUUUUGAAAUUUAAUGCUUUUUAAAACUGUUUUUAAAAAAAAAAUAUUUUAAAAUUUUAAUAUUUAUUUUCUAUUUGUAAAAUUUCCAAAGUCUAGGAUUAGAAGUUCUUUAAUAAACUCUAUACGAGAAAUUCCCUAGAAUAGCCAUAUUUAAGUUUUUGUCACAAAAAUAGCUUUUAAUGAAGAAAAUGAUCAAAAUAAGUUUUAUUAAAAGAUAAAAAUGUAUUUUUACCUUAAGGUUAACUAAUCUAGACGUAGGAUUUAAAGUUAAAGGGUGGAGCUUUGGUGAUAGGGUUUCAACUUUUAAAAAAUAUAAAAUAAAUAUUAAAAUUUCAAAAUAAAAAAAAAGGUUAUUUUAGUCAUUUUCUUUCUUGAAUGCUAUUUUUUGUGACAAAAACUUAAAAAUGUCUAUUUGAGAGAAUUGCCCAAUCUAUAUUAGUUAUUUUCUUUAUUAGAGGUUUUUUUGUGAAAAUAAACUAAAAAAAAAUCAUAUGGAAUUUCUCUGUAAACAAAGUAUGUAAUUCUCUUAUGGACGUAAAAUAACAUUUCUAUAAAUGUAAAAAAAAUAUAUUUACUUACAGUGAUCUAUAAACAAAAAGUUAAUAAAUACGAAUGACGUUGGGUGGUCCAAAGUUGGCAACUAAAUGAUAAACGUUGAAGCGCAUAUGCAUGCAUAUAGUUCAGAGAACCACCACAAUUAUAUAAGGAUAAAUUCUUAUUAGCUAGAAGAUCAAUUUUUUUAGGGGGGCGGGGUAGAUUAUAUUGAUAAUGUGGCCUUUGGUUGGUGGGGAGGACUACAAGAGACUAAGAGAGUAUUACCGAAGAUGAUGAUUACGAACGAACUAUGGAUGAAGAAAACUCAAGAUCUCACCUCUACUUUCGGUUGCUAUUGAGUUGAUCUCAAAGUAACUCAAUCUGUUACGAGUGUCAGAUGACAAUAUUCUUCUUCCAUGAUUGACUCGAGAUAUUUUGUACAUAAUAUAUGUUAAAUUUCAUAUAUAUCUAAUAAAAUGUAUCACCAAUAUAAUUGUUAGAAAAAAAGUAUCACAAUAUAAUAUUAUUA